CAAAAGUGUUUACUUCACUCUCGCCUUCGCCGGCAUGGCGCUGAUGGCCGCCGUGGUGGUGGGGGUGGGGGUGGCACGGCGC
Non-coding RNA from Tribolium castaneum (red flour beetle), 82 nucleotides. The record is from RefSeq and is marked provisional. Lineage: Eukaryota; Metazoa; Arthropoda; Insecta; Coleoptera; Tenebrionidae.